Molecule: long non-coding RNA, 666 nt
Organism: Thalassophryne amazonica
Lineage: Eukaryota; Metazoa; Chordata; Actinopteri; Batrachoidiformes; Batrachoididae
Exons: 3
Source: RefSeq, a predicted model, not a curated record
AACUUACACUUGUGAUUAAUAAAAUUUAAUUUUCAGGUUUCUGAAAACCCGAGCCACUGUAGAGGGUGUGUUAUUAUUUCAAUUAUUUUGAAGGGAUUUACAGUCAGCCAUACUUCUGGUUGUGAUACAGCUGGCACAGCCAGCAUUAAAAAUGCAUAAUAUACGUGUAAACCAGACUGGACAAACUAAGACACAAUUAAUAAAUAAAUACAUUGCAAAACAACCGCAUCCCACUGAUACUUAAGUAGGACACGGCAGCCACGGAACAUAUCGUCCUGCUGUCUGACGCUGCUUUCUGCUUCACAGGGCUUCAUAUUGAUAAGUUCCAUAACGCCCCGGUCACAUGGCACUAACGAAGGAUACCGAAGCCCAAACGAAACAAGAAAUCUGGACUUUUGAGUAUUUUUGUUUAACAUUCAUCUCGCUUUGCUCCCGCAGCUGGCGCUUUGUCAGAAUUUUUAAACUGUUGAAAAAUUUGAACGAAAACUGCCGACAACUUCAAUUCAUCUGUAUUUCAUUUUGCUUUCGUUCUUGACGGUUUCGUAUUGUUUGCUUAGUUUUCGUAACGUUAGCGUUUCGUUUGACAUUUGUCCAACUUCGUUCAAGCUCCCAAGAUCGACAACACGUAAUGAUAUCUGAACAAAUCAAUAACUAAAACUUCGACGA